CGCUAAAGAAGAAAUGCUGCUGAAACUAACAGUACCAGACAAGCUUGAUGUCAGCCAGGCCCCAGGAUGCCACGUACCUGACUGCUUCCCAAGUUCUUUCGACACCUGCCAUUGAGAGGGAGGACCCCACCAAAUCUGCACGAGCUCUGAUGACUGGCCUGGAACCAGCAGAACACAGCAGGUGUGAAGAUGCUGCGUGUUAUGCAAAGCCAUGUCAGAGGCGCAAGUGCCUCUCCAGUUCAGGCCGCGCUCGGGGUGCAGCCGCUGUCACCUUGAGACUGUCCCUGCAGGACCCCCAUGAGACCUCUGGCCAACUUCCAGUCUUCUCAGACGCAACAUCCACGAAGCCCUGGGGGACCACAGCCGUCCACACCCAGGCCAGGCCACAGGACAGAUCCCUCGGCAGAUGCUCCCCAUUUCUAACCCACUAGCACAUGAGCAAGUCAAACGGUGGCUGGUGACACCACGGAGCGUGAGUGGUCUCAACAGCAGGAAGAACCGAAGCCCUGGAUGCAAAGCUGCCUGAAUACCUGUGAGAUGCCAGGAGGGGGACAGGAAGUGGUAAGGACCCAAAUAGCCACCGUGGGGCGCAGGAGAGGAUGGUCUGGAGCCUCAGCAGCUCUGGUUGGAAGACAAAGGCUGCCUUCUUGAAGCUCCUCUUCCUUCCUAAAUCUUCCCUUCUCCCUACCUGCCCACCUCUACCUUCCUAAGGGCUUGCGCUUGGAAAGCAUGGCAAUCCCCACUGGUAAAGCUGAUCUGCGGCGCCAAUGGGGAAUGGCAUCCGACCAGUGCAGCCCGAUGCUCUGCCUCCAAGCCACACCUCCAGGAGGCUGUUUUCCCAACUUCACUGCUGACAACCCCCUUCUGACAGUAUUUUCCUUAAGGCAUUCUCAAGGAGGCCUCCGACUUCUCAAGGCACCAUUUCUUUAAAGCCCCUUUGCAAAUCUCUCCUGACCCGCUGUGUGCUGAUUUUACAGCUUCCUUUUAGAGGUAGUCUCAUUUAUGCAUUUUCACCUGCACAGCUGUCACGAUGCUUAUAUUCUUGGGGACUGUCUUUUUCAUCCCCUUGCACUACCCUUGUAUCCUCCCGUGUGUAGAAUAAAACACCUUCGCUGAUUGCCAAAUUGGAACUUCCUGGCAGAAAUGCUUAAAAAAUUGUUUGUUUCAGUAAGUUAACAAAAGCUAGUCCAUGUAGGAGAAGAAAAACUGACAUUACUCACCACUGACAAAUAAAAACUGCUCCCAGCUCUGCGUUACUGCCUACAGCAAUAAAAGCCUGGCAGGGGAUUCAGCAAAAACA
This is a non-coding RNA of Macaca mulatta (Rhesus monkey), 1300 nucleotides long. The record is from RefSeq and is a predicted model, not a curated record. Lineage: Eukaryota; Metazoa; Chordata; Mammalia; Primates; Cercopithecidae.